AAUUGGCUCUGUUGUGUUGGCCAAGUCUGGCUAAUGCAUUAUGAAAGCUUCCCUGGCUUGGCUUAUCAUCCGACAGCGCUCGCUGCUUUACACCUUCGUAACGCGUUCUGUACAUGCUGUGAGCCCAGUUGACAUCCACAGACUGCUGGGUGAUAGGGAGGAGAACAAGGGAGCAAGGGAGCUGUGGCAGAAAGAGAGGUAGAAAGACACAGAGAAAGAAUUGCUGUCACAAGACUAACUGUCAUCGGGAAGAAUCACAGAGACACUUCUAGGAUGAAGCCCAGGUGCCUCCUCUCCACGGUGGACAGACUUCCCACCAUCAAUGAGAUGCAGGAGAGCAACGCAGAGGACGAAGACCAGGAUUAUUCCACACACACCAUGGAGAAGUAUGUGGACUUCAUCAGAGAGCUCUCCCAGCCGGCUCCCUACCCUCUCCACGGGCCCCUCAGGGGCCACCGCCGUUGGAUGGUGCACACAAGCCCCGGGGUAACGCCUGUGGCUCCAUCUACCUACGCACCCUGGGUUCCAGUUGAACUCUCAGAUAUAUCACUUACUUUAACUGACCAAAGAAACUGUGACUCAUCACUGCGUUUUAACCACAACCUGCUGGACUUGUUGGUUGCACAAUCCCUGUUUGCAGGUCUGGUAUGAGCCAAAGGAAGGAUUAAUGGGGGGAACAGAUUACCUCCACCACUGGAUGUACUCAGUUACCCCUGCAGCAUGCAUACUUUGACAUCAGCCCCAUGUUACGUGAUUAAUUUAUGUGUAAGAAGUAAUUGAGUAAAGCCACUUUCCAAAAGUCACAUAUAUUUCCUUUGAAGUACUAAAUGAAUGAAACAAAAGAUGAAAAGGGAAAAAUAUCAAGGGCAGACAAGACAAAUGAGCAGCUGGAGGUGUGAGCAAACUAAAUGGUUGCGUAGGGGCGCUCAGCCACCAGGGGGGCCCCAAACAAAUGGAAAUUGUCAACUCUCUUUAGGUUUUGGGUCCCGACCAUUUCAAUAUAUUGAAGGAUACACUCCCUGAUUUUUGAUACGAGACUCAUCUGAGGGCCCAAAUGUGGAAGAUGUAAAUUGACAUAAUAAAAAUUGGGUGGAGGAGCCCAGGUUAACUCAGUUGGUAGAGCAAGUACGCAUAUAUAGAGGUUAACUCCUCAACAGCGACCCUUGGCUGCAUGUCAUUCCCCUAUUUCUCCCCUCUCAUCUGUCAUGUGAAAAUGAAGGCCUAGAAAUACCCCAAAAAUUAUCUUAAAAAAAAAAAAUUGAAAUAAAGAAAAGUUGUGAGGAGACCCCAAAAUGAACUGAAAAUGGAUCUGGAUCUUUCUUUAAAUAUUCACAAAUACUUUGCUUUCCAAUGCUGCUGAGAAACCAACACCGAAGGCAGAUCUAGAAAUGACUAUAUUUAAUUAAUUUAAAAAGGUGAAAUCACAUCGGAAAUGUAAAUCAUUUUUAUGUCUGCAGUGUCAAAAGGAAAUUUAUUUUUUUAAAUACUUUUUUUAUUAUGACAUGACUUUUCCAUGCUGUAAUACCUAAAACAAUGUGUAUUGUAUUUCAAUUUCUCUCUUUUGUUAAUUUGUGUUAAUUAAGGCAUUUUUCAUCUUGGGUUAGCCCUGGAGAUGAGAUGAAUUAAGCAACAAUGCACCUUUAUGAUCCCUGCACUAUGCAAAUGUGCAGUACUGUGCUGUACAAAAGUUUCAGUUAUAGUUGUGUCUUUAAAAAACAUUUUGUUCAAUAUUAAAUAAAACAAUGGUGAGAAAAACAUGACUCCCGCUUCAA
This is a long non-coding RNA of Etheostoma spectabile (orangethroat darter), 1772 nucleotides long. RefSeq lists it as uncharacterized. The transcript is spliced from 2 exons. The record is from RefSeq and is a predicted model, not a curated record. NCBI's taxonomy places the organism in Eukaryota, Metazoa, Chordata, Actinopteri, Perciformes, Percidae.